This 393-nucleotide ribosomal RNA is filed under the name uncultured bacterium. Its description in RNAcentral is "bacterial SSU rRNA". It matches the Rfam family "Bacterial small subunit ribosomal RNA", at positions 521 to 916 of the family's 1533-position model. The record is from RNAcentral.
UAAUACGAAGGUGGCAAGCGUUAUUCGGAUUUACUGGGCGUACAGGGAGCGUAGGCGGUUCGGUAAGCCCUCUGUGAAAUCUCCAGGCUUAACCUGGAAAAGUCGGAGGGGACUGCUGGGCUAGAGGACGGGAGAGGAGCGCGGAAUUCCCGGUGUAGCGGUGAAAUGCGUAGAGAUCGGGAGGAAGGCCGGUGGCGAAGGCGGCGCUCUGGAACGUUUCUGACGCUGAGGCUCGAAAGCGUGGGGAGCAAACAGGAUUAGAUACCCUGGUAGUCCACGCCUUAAACUAUGAAUACUAAGUGUCGGCGGUUUACCGCCGGUGCCGCAGCUAACGCAUUAAGUAUUCCGCCUGGGAAGUACGGCCGCAAGGUUGAAACUUAAAUGAAUUGACGG